Molecule: ribosomal RNA, 458 nt
Filed under: uncultured bacterium
Lineage: Bacteria
Description: partial 16S ribosomal RNA
Rfam family: Bacterial small subunit ribosomal RNA
Source: RNAcentral
CCUACGGGGUGCAGCAGUGGGGAAUAUUGUACAAUGGGGGAAACCCUGAUGCAGCGACGCCGCGUGAGUGAAGAAGUAUUUCGGUAUGUAAAGCUCUAUCAGCAGGGAAGAAAUAGCGACCUUUGGGUCGCCAGACGGUACCUGAUUAAGAAGCCCCGGCUAACUACGUGCCAGCAGCCGCGGUAAUACGGAGGGGGCAAGCGUUAUCCGGAUGUACUGGGUGUAAAGGGAGCGUAGACGGCAGCGCAAGUCUGAAGUGAAAUGCCGGGGCUUAACCCCGGAACUGCUUUGGAGACUGUGCAGCUAGAGUGCAGGAGAGGUAGGUGGAAUUCCUAGUGUAGCGGUGAAAUGCGUAGAUAUUAGGAGGAACACCAGUGGCGAAGGCGGCUUACUGGACUGUAACUGACGUUGAGGCUCGAAAGCGUGGGGAGCAAACAGGAUUAGAUACCCGUGUAGUC